Molecule: ribosomal RNA, 598 nt
Filed under: uncultured bacterium
Lineage: Bacteria
Description: bacterial SSU rRNA
Rfam family: Bacterial small subunit ribosomal RNA
Source: RNAcentral
UCAAUGGCUUGCCAUUAAGGAAAGUGGCAAAUGGGUGAGUAACACGUAAGUAAUCUGCCCUCGAGUGGGGAAUAGCCUCGCGAAAGCGGGAUUAAUACCGCAUAACACUCUGGAACAAAAGUUCUUAGAGUCAAUGCCUUCGGGUACUUGAGGAUGAGCUUGCGGCCUAUUAGCUAGUUGGUAGGGUAACUGCCUACCAAGGCUGAGAUGGGUAGCCGGCCUGAGAGGGUGUACGGUCACACUGGAACUGCGACACGGUCCAGACUCCUACGGGAGGCAGCAGUGGGGAAUUUUGCGCAAUGGGCGAAAGCCUGACGCAGCGACGCCGCGUGGAGGAUGAAGGCCUUCGGGUUGUAAACUCCUGUUAGAAGAGAAGAAUCCCCGAUUUAUCGGGUUGACGGUAUCUUCAGAGGAAGCCCCGGCUAACUACGUGCCAGCAGCCGCGGUAAAACGUAGGGGGCAAACGUUGCUCGGAAUUACUGGGCUUAAAGGGUACGCAGGUGGUUAAGCAAGUCAAUAAUGAAAUCCCGAGGCUCAACCUCGGAAUGGUUGUCGAAACUGUUUAACUUGAGGUUAGUUUAGGAGAACGGAAUUCCCG